RNAcentral lists this ribosomal RNA (774 nucleotides) under uncultured Neocallimastigales. RNAcentral's name for it is "partial large subunit ribosomal RNA". It matches the Rfam family "Eukaryotic large subunit ribosomal RNA", at positions 24 to 633 of the family's 3401-position model. Lineage: Eukaryota; Fungi; Neocallimastigomycota; Neocallimastigomycetes; Neocallimastigales. The record is from RNAcentral.
GUAGUCUCGCACAGAUGCAUAUCAAUAAGCGGAGGAAAAGAAACUAACAAGGAUUCCCCUAGUAACGGCGAGUGAAGCGGGAAGAGCUCAAAUUUGAAAUCUUAAAGGGUUUCCCUUUACGAAUUGUAGUUUAAAGAAGUGUUUUCUGUUGAGGUUUUGGUAAAAGUUCUUUGGAAUAGGACAUCAUAGAGGGUGAGAAUCCCGUAUUUGACCUUUACUUUCAACUUUGUGAUACACUUUCAAAGAGUCGGAUUGUUUGGGAAUGCAGUCCAAAAUGGGUGGUAAAUUUCAUCUAAAGCUAAAUAUUGGCGAGAGACCGAUAGCGAACAAGUACCGUGAGGGAAAGAUGAAAAGAACUUUGAAAAGAGAGUUAAACAGUACGUGAAAUUGUCAAAAGGGAAGCGUUUGACACCAGUGUUGUUUUUCUGAAAAUCAAUUAAAGAACUGUUUAUGCUAAGCUGUUUAGACUUUAUCAGCUAACUGUUUAGUUUUGAGCUUUUCUUUAAUGCACUUUUCAGUUAACAAGUCAACAUCAGUUUCUUUUGCUGUAAAAAAGCUUGAGGAAGGUGGCUUGAGAUUCGUCUUAAGUGUUUAUAGCCUCUUGCCUAUGCAGUCGGAGAGAUUGAGGUCUGCAGCGUAGAUCCUUCGGGGCUAAAUGCAUUUGUGCUAAGUUAUAGCAUUUUAUAGACAACUUGUUGACUAUGAUUUGUCUUGUAGCUUACUCGCUUAUGUUAUUUUACCUACGCUUAGGAUGUUGAAGACUCUACAGAGAUA